CCGUGCUAAGCGGGGAGGUAGCGGUGCCCUGUACCCGCAAUCCGCUCUAGCGGGGUAGAAUCCCUUCUCGAGGUUCGUUUACUGUAAGGUCUGCCUUAAGUAAGUGGCGUUGACGUCUGGGUCCUGCGCAAUGGGAAUUCAUGAACCAUGUCAGGUCCGGAAGGAAGCAGCAUUAAGUGAAACCUCUCAUGUGCCGCAGGGUUGCCUGGGCUGAGCUAACUGCUUAAGUAACGCUUAGGGUAGCGAAUCGACAGAAGGUGCACGG
This 265-nucleotide signal recognition particle RNA is filed under the name Bacillus velezensis. Its description in RNAcentral is "signal recognition particle sRNA large type". It matches the Rfam family "Bacterial large signal recognition particle RNA". From Rfam's summary of the family: The signal recognition particle (SRP) is a universally conserved ribonucleoprotein involved in the co-translational targeting of proteins to membranes. The record is from RNAcentral. Lineage: Bacteria; Bacillati; Bacillota; Bacilli; Caryophanales; Bacillaceae.